ACUCCAGGGAGACUGCCGGUGAUAAACCGGAGGAAGGUGGGGACGACGUCAAGUCAUCAUGGCCCUUACGAGUAGGGCUACACACGUGCUACAAUGGCGCAUACAGAGGGCAGCCAACUUGCGAAAGUGAGCGAAUCCCAAAAAGUGCGUCGUAGUCCGGAUUGGAGUCUGCAACUCGACUCCAUGAAGUCGGAAUCGCUAGUAAUCGUGGAUCAGAAUGCCA
Molecule: ribosomal RNA, 223 nt
Filed under: Vibrio parahaemolyticus
Lineage: Bacteria; Pseudomonadati; Pseudomonadota; Gammaproteobacteria; Vibrionales; Vibrionaceae
Description: partial 16S ribosomal RNA
Rfam family: Bacterial small subunit ribosomal RNA
Source: RNAcentral